ACGGCCAUACCAUAUUGGAAGCACCGGUUCUCGUCCGAUCACUGAAGUUAAGCAAUGUCGGGUCUGGUCAGUACUUGGGAGGGUGACCACCUGGGAACACCGGAUGCUGUAGGUU
RNAcentral lists this ribosomal RNA (115 nucleotides) under Cordylochernes scorpioides. Lineage: Eukaryota; Metazoa; Arthropoda; Arachnida; Pseudoscorpiones; Chernetidae. The record is from RNAcentral.